GUUUUCUAAGUUUGCUCUCAUGUGAGGCUAGUUCUUGUAUUCUUUGCUACUUUUGUCGCUUAAUGAUACUGAAAGUGGUUAAAACCUUUGUUGGAAAAUCUGAGCUAUGCCCUCUAAGGUUUCAUUAAGUGCUGGGGUCACUUGCCCCAGUUGGGGGGUCACUUCCCCCAGUUGUAUGUGCAAUUCAUUACUAAGAGAGAAUAUCCUGAGCAGUUCCCAAUGGUGGGUGGCUGGCUAAAAGGAAUCCCUGGAGAUUUUAGUGUGGUAGGAAAGCAUUUUCAUUCUUGAGGAUUUUUCUUUGACUUUUCUAUGGGCUGGCUGAUUUCCUCAGUUUGCUUUGUUCUGGGUUUUAGGGGAGAAUUCUUGGGAGGUUGUGAAUUUUCUUUGCCUACAGUGAGAUGGUUAGAUGCUAUUCUGAACUUUAUCUAGAUCUUACCCAAAUCCAUUUCCAUGUUAGCAAGCAUGAAGUUGUUUACCUUUUCUUUUUUGGCGAUUGAUGUUGAGUUUUUCGUUCUCACUCACUCCCUUGCCAGUUCCUUAGAUGUUAUGAUCCAGCUAUGACCCAGCUUUACACUUUCUUCACCCAGAAGUGACCUCACCUUUUCAUGACAGAGGAAACAGAAGCCAUGGACUUCUUAAUGCUAUAUGUCACAAACCUGUAUGCAUGUAAGAAUCUUUUAUUUCCUCGUAUUCCAGUGUUUUAAACAUCCUGUCACCCAUCAGGGACUUGUCCUUCAUAUGUAUUUCUCCUACACCUUUCCUACUCUGUCAUGCAUUUUGCACUAUUACUGUAUCUCUUUCUUGUAUUUUCAUCUUGUCACCCUGUAUUUAUUUAUUUUCCACCCACUUUUAAACUUAGUUACAUCUUUCAUGGUAAACAGGUUCUAGGGAGAUGGUUUGAUUAUGUAUCUUAAAUUCCCUCCCCUCAAUCUCUGUUUCCAUCUGCCAACUACCCUGUCUUGAAUAGAGCAGCUGCUGUGAGCCUGGAGCCUUUGGGCAAAUAAGAGUGUAUACAGUCCCUUGAUUUUACCAGAAGAUGGGAAAGAGAGCUUGCUUUGAUUUUCUUCCUGUAAUCCAGAUGAAGGUUUAGAGACGGGCAGCUGUGAAGCCUUCAGCAAAGGUCUGAACGGAAAGAACCUUGCUUUCAAAGAUACAUGGAUUUAGAGGAAAAGCGGUGCAGUUCAUAUGUAUGGUACUAGGAAGACUAGCUUCAGAGUACCUGUUUGGUUGCUGCAUGGUGGGCACAAUUCCACAUCUCCCUGUGAGGCUGGGGGAGGGGAAGUAAAUAGCAAAAAAACAAAAAAGACAUUGGAAGAGAUUUUCCUCCUGUCAUCUGUGAUGAGGAGUGGCAACUUGCUGGUUAGUAGAUAAUCAGCCUACAGAAGAGAGCUGCCUUCUAUUGCUCACAAGUUUGUUUCCGCUCAAGAGUAUCCCACAAUUUGAUUUAUGCUAAAUGGGGAGUGAGUGGACAAAGAAGAAUAUCUAAGGAAACCUAAAGAAAAAUAGCAUCUAGAGAGAACAGGAACACAGAAGAAAUGGAUGGUGAAAAAGAAUUGCUGGUGGAGAUGAAUGACAACUUUAAUUUUGAAAAAGCACCUGAGAAAAUUCAGUCAGUAUAAAAUAAACUUUCUAGCAAUUAAACUACAUUAAAAUGUGGUAGAAAAAGAGAGGCAUGGCCACUAUUGGGGACUAAAUAGUGGCCUUGGAUAUCAUGUAGAAGUAGUUAUCUUUGGAAAAGUAAAAAUCCAAAGACACGGAGAUUUCAAAAAUCAAAACACCUAGAAGACGAGUCUAAGAUAUUUAAUGUGAGUAAGUGAAGAACCACAAGGAGAAAAAGGGAAACGAUACAGGAGGGCAC
This 1858-nucleotide long non-coding RNA is filed under the name Homo sapiens (human). RNAcentral describes it as "LHRI_LNC1160.1". Lineage: Eukaryota; Metazoa; Chordata; Mammalia; Primates; Hominidae. The record is from RNAcentral.